RNAcentral lists this ribosomal RNA (253 nucleotides) under uncultured bacterium. Its description in RNAcentral is "partial 16S ribosomal RNA". It matches the Rfam family "Bacterial small subunit ribosomal RNA", at positions 524 to 776 of the family's 1533-position model. The record is from RNAcentral.
UACGUAGGGAGCAAGCGUUGUCCGGAAUCAUUGGGCGUAAAGCGCGCGUAGGUGGCCACAUAAGUCCGUUGUGAAAGUCAAAGGCUCAACCUUUGAAAGCCGAUGGAUACUGUGUGGCUAGAGUACGGAAGAGGCGAGUGGAAUUCCUGGUGUAGCGGUGGAAUGCGCAGAUAUCAGGAGGAACACCGGUGGCGAAGGCGGGAUCCUGGGCCAGUACUGACGCUGAGGAGCGAAAGCGUGGGGAGCAAACAGG